GUGAGUCUGUAGACUUCCAAUUUAAUAUAUUCAUCAAAGCCUUGCAUAUUAUUAUCUUUUUGCCAGUCCCAACUGACAUAGGUUAUAUAUUUGUGUGUGCAUUCAGGCUGGGAAAAAGUAGAUGCCAUUAUGUGAAGUAACAUAACUUAUCAGAUGUGAAACCUAGAAACACACUUAGUUUCUCUAAGCCUCUGAAUUCUCAUUUGUAAAACAGGGAUCAUCAUAUUACACCAAACUGUUGUUAUAAUAAUUAACAGGUAAUGCAUGUUAAGCACAAAGUCUCAAACAUAGUAAUGAUUCACUGCUGUAUUAUUUUGAUUUUAUCAUCAUCAUUAUUAUUCAUAGUCUAAUACUUCAGACACUUUUGGCAAACUUGAUAUAAGAAGAAGCCAGAUUUAGGAAGGGGCCAGCCUUCACUGCAACUUUCCAAUCACUGAGGAAAGAAACAUUUGAUUAUUGGGCAUUAAAUAAGAAGCAAAUCACAUGGCUACUCUAUAGUUCCUCAGCUAUAAGGUCAAAGUUUAAAGUGGGGAGCACAUUCUGGCCUACGUUUUGGGAUGUAAAAAUCUCAAACGCAUUUGUUUUGCAGACAUACAAUCAGCACACACACAACAGUGUGUCAUGAAUCCUCUCUCAACUGACCAUCAGGCUGGAGGAAGUAACCUGCAGCAAGCCCACCUAAGAAAACCCUCUCUCAGGGGAUGAUGUCCAAAGACACUGCCAUUGAAGUCACCUAUCUCAUUUCAGUGCACUGAGGGAAUCCUGGUGUGGCAAAGGCCAUGUGCAGCUUUAACAGUCAGAUCACAGGAUGAAUACUGAAAUGGGUAGCAAAGAUGGGUAAAUCAGAUAUUUUAACCCAAAGGUAUCAUUAGCACUGACUAAUUGAUUAUAGUGCCCCAAUAAAUAAUAAAACUAAGAACAAAGAAAUAUGUAGUUCCCAGGACAUAGUAAGUACUUGGUUUCUAUGCCUUCCUCACACAUACAUUUUGCUCUAAGAUAUGUACAUGGUAUGUUAAACAGAAGCACUGCUAGGAGGACUGCUUUACUUUUAAGGUUGUUUGUUUUGUAUUACAAGCUGGGGUGGUUUCUAUAGCUCUUCCCUGUGCAUAAAGAUAUGGUUGUGACACACACUGCCCUCCCAAUCUUCAGUAGGUCCCAGAUAUCACCUUGUUAGAGGAUGGAUACAAACUUCUGUAUCAGCCUAGACAAUCAUGAUGACUGUCAAAAUUUUUGGAAAGCUGUGGGGAAAUUACUGAAUGUUUCCACCUAUACACAGGAAUUAUAAUUCAUAUCAAGAUAUUGAACCUAACUCUAGGGGACCAUUCCUUAAAGGCAAUGAGAUAUAGGCUGAAGUCAAUUCAUUGCCACACAUUUUUAGCGUUACUGAGCCUUUGUGAAGCACAAUCUGAGUUUAAUUCAGAUUCCCAUAGGUAUAAUUGUUUAAACUCAACAUGAGCAAAUCUAGAUGUAUUUGUUUCAAGUGUGUAUUUUCAAUCACCAAAUGAGCAUGAGUAACUUUUCCUCUUUAAUUUUCAAGAGAAGUAACACUCUUACCCAUUUCUUUUGGUUCUUCUCAUUUGCUUUCCAUCUUUUUAUGUUGAUAUGGGAAUUUUUUUGAGAAUAGUCAGCAAAUACUAUACAAGGAUCCCUUUUUGGAUUCAUUUUAAUAAAGCAUCUGACUCCCAUGCUUAAAACAAAACAGAACUCAAUAAACAGUGGACCAAACCACAUGCCUGUGUAAAAACCUGUUACAUAUACUUUACGAUAUAUAAAAAAUCCCAUGGUCUCAAAGUCCAUGUUUCUUUUUUACUCUGUCAAUCCCUGACUCUUGAAAAGAAACAUAAACAGACACACACACAUACUAAAAUAAAACAUCAAAAUGACCAAAGAACACAAAGUUUUCAAGUCACCAAUGCCCAAUUUCUCACAGUAAUAAAGUUUAUAAGAAGCACUUCUUCUCCUUUCCUCUCUCCUUAUCACUUGAGUAUACAUAGUUUCAAGGAAUUUAAGCAAGAUAAAAUUGUUCACCACAACAACUGCAGGUAUUUUCUAUACAGUUGACAUUAUGUAUGGAUAGCUAUUUCUGUGUAUAUACAUGUGUACAUGUAUUGAUUGAUACUAAAAUGUACUUAUUGAGCCCAUAAAACUCACUAUGUGACAGACUGUUGCAAGAGGAUGAAUACAGCAUCCACUAUUUUUGUCCUCAAAUAGAACAGAUUCAGUGGAAGAUGAGAGGAUGGAAAAGGUCAAACUUAAAAAAAAAAAUCUACAGUGCAGGGUCAUAUGAGCCAUAGAACUUAGAAUAAUAGAGUGCUCAUAGCGCAAUGGAAGGGCACAUAUCCAAACCUAGAGGGAGAAAAAAGAGCCUCCUACAAUAUGUGAUGUUAAAGUCGAGUCUUAAAGGAAUGUGUGGACGAUGUGUCCAUCUAGUCUUGAAGGGAAGUUUAUGUGUGCCUAGAUCUAUAUGUGAAUACACACACACGAGGACUUCAGCUAGACAGAAAACUUUAUCUCCAUAAUUUAACCCAUCCAUUAUGCGAUCAUGCAGGGCAGCUAAGUGUGUGCUUGUACAAGUGGGCUUGGUAAUAUAAACAACUUAAUUGAAAUGGCUGGUCCCAAGAAGCUCAUUGAGGAAGGAUGAUGCUUCCUGGUGGAGUUCAAGAUGGCAUAAAAUGUAUCAAUGUUAAAUCCUUGACAUAUGCAACUCUGUUCCCCUUGGUUUAUAGCUCUUUUAGGAGAUGCAAUACCCGUUAGCUUUUAUCAUUCCUCUGAAACUGCAUUAGAGAAAUUACAGGGUAUUAUCAAGAUAAGAAAAUAAUUGCAUUUUAAUUUGACAUGAGAGUUUCUUUAGAGAAUAAAGCGGAAAUUGGAUAAAGAAAGCAGAAUGAGAACAUAUCUACCUGCCUCCCAUACUAAAUUGUGAGAAAUGACAGAAAGGGUACUUCAGAAAAAUUUAAAUCUUUUAUAAAGGUGGUCAGUGGAAAACGAAUGCAAGAAUGCUAUUUGGAGGAAUUUCUAAAAGAUGGGAAGCCUAAUGAGUUAUACCUUUGAAUAAAAAGGACUGAAAAAGGUCUGAGCUGAAACCAUGGGCAGGAGGCCUAUGCAGAGAAGCAAGCUUGGUUCCAGGAAGUCACCAAGCACAGGAUGUGAGUGAAUUCAUGGGGCAAAGGAGAGGACUCUGGGAACCUUCUGAGUGGUUUCUUGUAGGCCAGCAUUCAGAGAAGAUGGACUUCCUGGACACUCCCACUUCUCCACUAGUGUUCAUCAGCAGGCCAUAGGGAACAGUGUGCUCCAGUGUUUGUUUUCAAAUUGGAGAGACAGCUCAUGGUCCCAUGGAGCUUCCUACAUUCACCAACAGCUAAAAUCUCCAAAGACAAGUCACUUUAAUCAGAACUAACAUCUAAAGAAUAGGCCAGGAAUACUAAAAUGCAAAUAUGAGAGCAAAGAGCUGGUAAUUACAAAACUCAGAAUGCCAACACUAUGAAAAAGGAGCAUAUAUGUUAAUAAAGGAAUACCAAGGGAAACCACUGAUAGAGUAAACAGAAUAAUUCAAAGUGAGCUUAUUGCAUAUUUGUAGAGAUAGUGGAAGAAUAUUGCAUCUCUGAAAAAAGAAACUGUAAGGAUCUUAUAAAAAUGGAACCACUGAAACAAAAAAUUAAACAGAUGGCUUAAUGGGAAAAAGAGCUGGAGAAAGAACUAAUGAGCUGGAACUCUGAUCCCAGUGAUCAGUGCUAAUUAUGAAGUAUAAAAGAAACAGAUAAAUGAGAAAUAUGACAUAAAAAAUGUAGAAACAUGGAAGGUAAAUUUUAAGGUUCCAUUAUGUGUACUAUGUACUCCCAAAGGAUAAAGCAGAAAGAACGGAUAGAGAAAAAUAUAAUGAAAUACAAAUUCUCUAUUGUUUAAAAGAUCAUGAGCAAAUGAAGAAAAAUAAAUGACUACUUCAAAAAAUUUGAGAAUAAGAAUGUGAUGAGUUUCAAGAAAAAUAUAUAGUGCAAUUUUCAAGUUGUGAGUACAAAUUUGUAUGAAAGUAGAAAAAAAAUAAUAAAGACAAACUAUGAAUCAGGUAGGAAGGCAAAAUUAAGGCAUAACAUUCCACACUUCAUAGUUUUACUAUCUGCAGAUUUUUCUAAAAAAAUUCUUUGAAUAUUUCUUAUUACCUAAAUUUUGCAUUUAUAAUUUAAUGAACACUUAUAAAAGAUUGAUGUAAUACUUUUAUUUUAAAAAACUACUAUUCAUAAAUUAGCAAAAAUUAUAAACUUGAAACUUUUAUACUUAUGAUAAAAAAUUAUACAUUAACUCUAAAAUAUGGGAGAGGCUAAAUAUUCUUUCAAAAUCUGUUGACCAACACAAGUGUUAGAAUAACAAUGCCUUAGAGCAAGUCUUAAGUAAAAUCAAAUCCUAUGUAUCUGAUAUACAUCCUUCUACUAACACAUAUUACCUCACCCCACUUUAGGACACACAAUGGGUAGUUUUUCCAUUAUUCACAGGGUAGUGCCUUGGAGGAUGGGAGUGGGAAUGAGUUUGAAAUCAACACUUAUUGGACAGGAAAGACAAAGUGGCUUAAACCCAUGGGUUCCAUGUUGUGAACUGAAAUGAGGAUAAAGCAGUAACUGCUAGUUUAGAAUAGUUACAGAGUAUUUAACAUAUGUCACCCUGGAGUUUGAUUUUCUUUGUCAGAAGCAUAAAAGUUGAAUAAAUUGAAAACCUGGUAAAGUCUUCGUAGCAAAUGCCAGGAAGCAAUACCAUCAUCAUUUUGGGGAGGUUGAAUGUGCUUGUGAUGUUGUUUUUAUGGUUAUUACGUAUAAGGCACUAGAGCUUUUGGCAAAUACAAGGCAAGUCCUGUGAGUUCCACAACCUGUUUUUCCACUUCUCCAGCCUCCGAAAAAAAUGUAUUCUGCAUGAUAAGGGUGGUGAAACUCUCUUUCCUCUUACAGAACUCAUACAGAUGGUCAUGUCCUUUUUUUGGGGGGAGGGGUGUAGUAAAAUUGUAAUUAAAAAUUUUUUAUUAUGAUUGAUUUACAAUAUUCUGUAAAUUUCUGCUGAAUAGCAAAGUGACCCAGUCAUAUAUAUAUAUGAUACACAUUAUAUAUACAUACAUUAUUUUUCUCACAUUAUCUUCUAUCAUGUUCUAUCACAAGUAACUAGAUAUAUAGUUCCCUGUGCUAUACAGAAGGAUCUCAUGCCCAUCCACUCCAAAUACAAUAGUUUUCAUCUACUAACCCCACACUCACAAUCCAUCCCACUCCCUCCCCCUAUCCCCAGCAAGCAGGAGUCAUAUCCCUCUUGAGGCUGAACUGGUAAUGCUAACACAUGGAGCCAGCACUCUUGGGUUUUAUAUACAUACUUUUCAGAAGCAAAACAGACUCUAAAUUUUAUUUUUACUAUAGUCCACAUAAGCUCAAAAUGAUCUGUUGUUCUUUAGUUCCUAAAAAUAAUCUCCAUGAUUUAGAUGUUAUAUGUUCAAAUGAUUAAGUCUAGAUUCCAAAUAAUGAAGACUCAAUAUUGUUAAGAAAUCAGUGCUCUCCAAUGUGAUUUAUAGAUUCAAUACAAUUUCAACAAAAAUCUCAGGAAAUUAUGAUUUGAAUGUCAAGAAAUUGAUUCUAAAGUUUACAUGGAAAGGCAAAAGACCUGAAAUAGACAGAAUAAUACUAAGAAGAACAAAGCUGGAGAACUGACACUACUACGCUUCAGUGCUGACUAUAAAGCUAUGGUAAUUAAGACAGUGUGGCAUUGGAAAAUAAGACAAAUAGAUCAAUGGAACAGAAUAGAAGAAUGAAAAGACAAUUCCCACAAUCUAGGAGAAAAUAUUCACAAAACACAUAUGUGAUAAAGGAUGUGCACCCAAAAUAUACAAACACCCCUUAAACACUCCUUAAUAUAUAUUCAAAUGAGUUGGAACCUUAUAUUUACACAAACCCCUGCAUAUUAAUAUAUAUAACAGCUUAUUGGUAGUUGCCAAAACUGGUAAGCAAACUAGAUGCCCUACAGUAAAUGAGGAGAUUAUCUUACAGUCCAUACAGGUGAUGAAAUACUGUUUAAUGAUGAAAAGAAAAGCCUUAUCAAACCGUGAAAAGACAUGAAGGAGACUUAGUUGCUAAGUAGAAGCUGCCAGUCUGAGAAGGCUACCUAUGAUGAACAUAAUUAAUUUUAUUUAAAAAGAAACAGAAUAACAUCAUUUUAAAAUGACAAACAUUCCUCUC
This 6200-nucleotide long non-coding RNA is filed under the name Sus scrofa (pig). Its description in RNAcentral is "lncRNA (ENSSSCG00065041533.1)". The record is from RNAcentral. Lineage: Eukaryota; Metazoa; Chordata; Mammalia; Artiodactyla; Suidae.